This is a long non-coding RNA of Pocillopora verrucosa, 557 nucleotides long. RefSeq lists it as uncharacterized. The record is from RefSeq and is a predicted model, not a curated record. NCBI's taxonomy places the organism in Eukaryota, Metazoa, Cnidaria, Anthozoa, Scleractinia, Pocilloporidae.
GUAGCAUUCGAAUGGAGCGAUAUGUCAGUACAGCCAGCCCUUUAGUCGAAAAGGAGUUCGCCAGCAUUCUGAGGACAGUAUAUUGAAUGUUAAAGAUGAACUCAGUGACGUUGUCAGUCGUUGUCUUGACAGUAACUGCUCUACUUGUGAUGUUAUCGACUCCUGCUGCCGCAGAUUGUCGGUAUUGCUAUAAUCAAAAAAGAAUAUGUUUUACUACUUGUAUUACCCAGACGUGUUUGGACAACUGCGACAUUGGAUAUAAUAGUUGUCUUCAAAGCUCAUCUUGCCGACGAUUUCUUCUUCGAGACGUUCUUAAAGAAAAUUAUAAAAAUCGACCACAGUUACAUUACGAAACAUUGUUUUAGUCGGUAAACUAAGUAUUUAAUUUUAACGAAGCAACAGAAAACGGGGAUGAGGAUGAGAUUCCUGUAAAAUGAAGAUGGAACACCGAUCGAGAUCUGUUUAAAGCAUUAGUUAGGGUAAUACUUAAUUGCUAUACGUUUUUCGUGUAAAAGUUCCCAUAAUGCAAAUCAUUAAACCAGGAUAAUUAUAACAAA